This 497-nucleotide ribosomal RNA is filed under the name uncultured bacterium. Its description in RNAcentral is "partial 16S ribosomal RNA". It matches the Rfam family "Bacterial small subunit ribosomal RNA", at positions 28 to 507 of the family's 1533-position model. The record is from RNAcentral.
GAUGAACGCUGGCGGCGUGCCUAAUACAUGCAAGUCGAGCGAACGGACGAGAAGCUUGCUUCUCUGAUGUUAGCGGCGGACGGGUGAGUAACACGUGGAUAACCUACCUAUAAGACUGGGAUAACUUCGGGAAACCGUAGCUAAUACCGGAUAAUAUUUUGAACCGCAUGGUUCAAAAGUGAAAGACGGUCUUGCUGUCACUUAUAGAUGGAUCCGCGCUGCAUUAGCUAGUUGGUAAGGUAACGGCUUACCAAGGCAACGAUGCAUAGCCGACCUGAGAGGGUGAUAGGCCACCCUGGAACUGAGACACGGUCCAGACUCCUACGGGAGGCAGCAGUAGGGAAUCUGCCGCAAUGGGCGAAAGCCUGACGGAGCAACGCCGCGUGAGUGAUGAAGGUCUUGGGAUCGUAAAACUCUGUUAUUAGGGAAGAACAGAUGUGGCAGUAACUGUGCACAUCUUGACGGUACCUAAUCAGAAAGCCACGGCUAACUACGUG